Molecule: ribosomal RNA, 497 nt
Filed under: uncultured bacterium
Lineage: Bacteria
Description: partial 16S ribosomal RNA
Rfam family: Bacterial small subunit ribosomal RNA
Source: RNAcentral
GAUGAACGCUGGCGGCGUGCCUAAUACAUGCAAGUCGAGCGAACAGACGAGGAGCUUGCUCCUCUGACGUUAGCGGCGGACGGGUGAGUAACACGUGGAUAACCUACCUAUAAGACUAGGAUAACUUCGGGAAACCGGAGCUAAUACCGGAUAAUAUAUUGAACCGCAUGGUUCAAUAGUGAAAGACGGUUUUGCUGUUACUUAUAGAUGGAUCCGCGCCGCAUUAGCUAGUUGGUAAGGUAACGGCUUACCAAGGCAACGAGGCGUAGCCGACCUGAGAGGGUGAUCGGCCACACUGGAACUGAGACACGGUCCAGACUCCUACGGGAGGCAGCAGUAGGGAAUCUUCCGCAAUGGGCGAAAGCUUGACGGAGCAACGCCGCGUGAGUGAUGAAGGUCUUCGGAUCGUAAAACUCUGUUAUUAGGGAAGAACAAAUGUGUAAGUAACUAUGCACGUCUUGACGGUACCUAAUCAGAAAGCCACGGCUAACUACGUG